UUUGAAAUCUGGCCCCCAGGGCCCGAGUUGUAAUUUGCAGAGGAUGCUUUUGGCGAGGCGCCUUCCGAGUUCCCUGGAACGGGACGCCAUAGAGGGUGAGAGCCCCGUCUGGUUGGAUGCCGAGCCUCUGUAAAGCUCCUUCGACGAGUCGAGUAGUUUGGGAAUGCUGCUCUAAAUGGGAGGUAUAUGUCUUCUAAAGCUAAAUAUUGGCCAGAGACCGAUAGCGCACAAGUAGAGUGAUCGAAAGAUGAAAAGCACUUUGAAAAGAGGGUUAAAAAGUACGUGAAAUUGUUGAAAGGGAAGCGCUCAUGACCAGACUUGGGCCCGGUGAAUCAACCAGCGUUCUCGCUGGUGCACUUUGCCGGGCUCAGGCCAGCAUCAGUUUGCUCCGGGGGAUAAAGGCUCUGGGAAUGUGGCUCCUCCGGGAGUGUUAUAGCCCACUGCGCAAUACCCUGGGGCGGACUGAGGACCGCGCAUCUUGCAAGGAUGCUGGCGUAAUGGUCAUCAGCGACCCGUCUUGAAACACGGACCAAGGAGUCGUCUUCGUAUGCGAGUGUUCGGGUGUCAAACCCCUACGCGUAAUGAAAGUGAACGCAGGUGAGAGCUUCGGCGCAUCAUCGACCGAUCCUGAUGUUCUCGGAUGGAUUUGAGUAAGAGCAUACGGGGCCGGACCCGAAAGAAGGUGAACUAUGCCUGUAUAGGGUGAAGCCAGAGGAAACUCUGGUGGAGGCUCGCAGCGGUUCUGACGUGCAAAUCGAUCGUCAAAUAUGGGCAUGGGGGCGAAAGACUAAUCGAACC
Molecule: ribosomal RNA, 798 nt
Filed under: Purpureomyces pyriformis
Lineage: Eukaryota; Fungi; Ascomycota; Sordariomycetes; Hypocreales; Clavicipitaceae
Description: partial 28S ribosomal RNA
Rfam family: Eukaryotic large subunit ribosomal RNA
Source: RNAcentral